UUUUUAGUAGUAUAAUCAUUACACUUACCUUCCAAGUAAAAAAUCUUUUAAAAAGC
RNAcentral lists this transfer RNA (56 nucleotides) under Physella acuta. RNAcentral's name for it is "tRNA-Gly". The record is from RNAcentral. Lineage: Eukaryota; Metazoa; Mollusca; Gastropoda; Physidae.